Molecule: ribosomal RNA, 490 nt
Filed under: uncultured bacterium
Lineage: Bacteria
Description: partial 16S ribosomal RNA
Rfam family: Bacterial small subunit ribosomal RNA
Source: RNAcentral
AUUGAACGCUGGCGGCAGGCCUAACACAUGCAAGUCGAACGGUAACAGGAAGCAGCUUGCUGCUUCGCUGACGAGUGGCGGACGGGUGAGUAAUGUCUGGGAAACUGCCUGAUGGAGGGGGAUAACUACUGGAAACGGUAGCUAAUACCGCAUAACGUCGCAAGACCAAAGAGGGGGACCUUAGGGCCUCUUGCCAUCGGAUGUGCCCAGAUGGGAUUAGCUAGUAGGUGGGGUAACGGCUCACCUAGGCGACGAUCCCUAGCUGGUCUGAGAGGAUGACCAGCCACACUGGAACUGAGACACGGUCCAGACUCCUACGGGAGGCAGAAGUGGGGAAUAUUGCACAAUGGGCGCAAGCCUGAUGCAGCCAUGCCGCGUGUAUGAAGAAGGCCUUCGGGUUGUAAAGUACUUUCAGCGGGGAGGAAGGGAGUAAAGUUAAUACCUUUGCUCAUUGACGUUACCCGCAGAAGAAGCACCGGCUAACUCCGUG